Molecule: long non-coding RNA, 597 nt
Organism: Hypanus sabinus (Atlantic stingray)
Lineage: Eukaryota; Metazoa; Chordata; Chondrichthyes; Myliobatiformes; Dasyatidae
Exons: 3
Source: RefSeq, a predicted model, not a curated record
UCCUGUUUAAAACCUGUUACUUUUACCAGUCUAACGAAGGGUGGAAGUCUACAAUGAUAAAUUUUGACCUUUUGACCUUCUGUGUGUUUAUGAAUGCUUUUCUGCCAGGUCAAUUUAUUGCUGCUAUUUGAUACGUUCAGGUUUAAAUUAGGUGCAAAGCCCUCUACUUCGCUCUUUCUCCAAGACCCUGGUAAAUCUUAAUCAGCCUCUGGCUGGAUAUCCAAUACUUUGUAAGCCCUCUUAUCAUGCGCUUUAAUUUCUGCCUGUAACAACUGCCUGCUGACUAAGCUUCACUCGUGCUAUGACCCUAUGUUAACAAGGACUUGAAAUAGUUGGAGGACUACUUGGAUUCUGCUAAUCUUCAGCCUUCAUGAUGUUGUAAAAGGAUCAUAGGAGUCGGAGGAGUAGCCAAGAGAGAAGCUCUCUUCUGACUGAAAUCUACCAGCAAGUGCACUUCAAGGAACGUAACCUGCAAGACUGCAGAGGCAAAGUGGAAUGAGGCUUUUACUGACCAUGGGAAUCUCAGAGCAUGUGAACAACUCUGCAGUGGGUAGUUCAAUGUCGUUUUUGGAACAAGUGCCUGCUGGUCAAAAAGCC